CUUAAGCAGUUAGAAUUAAUGUACCAGAGUUAUAUAUGCCCUGAAUGUUAAUCAGGUACUGUGUUACAAACACUCAAUCAGAGCUGUUGUUUUUUUUUUUAGUCUAUAUUAGGAUACAGCCAUGAACAACUGUUACUCUAAAUCAUUCCUUUUGUGUACUGAAGAUAUUUAAAAAUUAUGACCCAACUAUUUUUUCUUUCAAAUUACUUGGGUAAAAUAGUAAUUGACCUAAUAUUCUGUUAGAUAUUGUAUUUAUCAUUAUUUUUAUCUGUAUUCAUUGUUAAGCUGAUUAGCAUUUGAAUAGACAUCCUUUUCUGUUUUUUUCUUUCUUUUUUUUUUGGUCUUUUUGCCAUUUCUGGGCUGUAGCUCCGAUUGGACCCCUAGCCUGGGAACCUCCAUAUGCCAUGGGUGUGGCCCUAAAAAGACAAAAAAAUAAAAUAAAAACUACCAUUUUAACACAAACAUAAAUGUAUUAUUUCUUUUAAAAGCAAAAUAUGGCAAGCACUGUAUUAUAUAAUGUCCCUUGCUAUUGUAAGAGUUCUGACCGCAAGUUAGUGGUGAUAUUUGUAUCUAAAAAGAGGGCUACAUUUCCUAUGAUACUGUGAUUUUAAAAAUGAACUAGACUACCAUAUCAACAAAAGCACAGAUUCUAAGCCAGUAUUAGGUGAAAUUGUAUAGUAUUCACUUUUAAAGUUUUUUUUUUUUUUUUAAUGCCACUUUAUGUUAUGUCCUCCUUGGUAAUUUUAAAAAUAUAUGUAUUUUUCUUUAACCAACUGUUGGUGACCUCAUUAAGAGGGACUUCAUAUUCCUAAUUCUGGUGCUCAUACAUAUGAACUACUCUGUACGUUAAAUUGUUGAUGAGCAGAAGUAAAAUGAGGUUAACAUUAUGAUUAAAAUCAUUCCUGAUGUUUAUAGUAUAUAUUUAUUGACUGAGCUUAAACUAUAAAUUAUAAGGCAAGUUAUCAGCAGAAUAUUUCAUUAAAGGGCACAGGAAAUUUCCCUUCUGCUUUUAUAUAAAGCAUUUCCUAAUUCAGGAGAAUAUCAGUGAUUGCCAAGAGAAUGAAUGAGUGCCUUUCGGAAGCCUUCUGGAUGUUUGUUCCAGCACCAGGAUCUCUCCUAAACCCAGAGUUGGCUGCUGUGGUUUUUCUGGCUGUUGCCUGCUAUGGAAUCAUUUUAAACCCUCUUGCGUCCUCACUCACAGCCCUCACAUCCUCUCUCCCACGUCUUUGUCCCCUAGGUCAGCUGACACUUCUUUACAGCUCAUGUAUUUUGACCAAGACAGCAUAAACAAGGCUUCCAUGUUAAAAUCCCUGCAGUUUUUAGUGUAUCCUUUUUGGAGACCAAGGUUAUGCUUUAUAAAGUGUUUCCUUCUGCUUCAUGGGGGCUAGCAGUUUGCAAAACAAAAAGUUAUUUGAAGUCCUUCCCUCCCGAUCUUACACUCUCCACCUGCUGACCACAAAGUUGGGUUUAAUCAGAAUCUAAAAAUUAUCUGCCAAGGCUACUACUGUGUCUUCCAACAGUUGGCUGAGUCAAGAACCAGUUAAAUAUUUAAAUAUAAGAAACAGUGCACAAACUUUUAGUCAUUCUCGUAACUACAUGUGAAACUCAUGUGCUAGCUGUUGUUUUGCCCCAUGGAGAGCUUUGAAAAAUAUAAACCAUCCCCUUUUAAAGAAGCUUUCAGUUGAGCACACAUACCCCAAAAGAUGUUUUAAAUGUGGGAGAGUAUCAUAUUCCUUCUCCCCCUUAUCCGUCCUUCAUAGCUGACUGAAACUGACCAGUUAUUUAAACUUGCUCCUUCCAUAUCCCAUGAGAAACAACUAUACGCAUUUUGUCGUGAGCUACUUUAAAAAACAACUCUUGAUAGCUAACAUUUUAGUGGGAAAAAAAAAAAGAUUGGAUGCAUUCUGUAAUUGAGAAAAUACAAUAAAACUUAGAUCCCACGGAUACUGUAUUUACUACACUGAUUCAUGUGCUUCCAUCAAAUCCUUUUAUUCAUAAGGAGGAGACAGAGGAGCAUAUUUUAUAAAGCUGAGCCCAAAAGGAUGCUGAAAGAAACCUUAGACAAGAGAUGCCAGGUCACACUAGAGAAGGCUGGUGUUCUUGUAUGUGUCUCCAGCAGGUGUUCCUUCUUUAUCCGAGGCAGCUGCAAAUGCAGAGGCCCCACCAGAGUCUAGGAAAACGAGAAGGGUUACCUUUGGCAUCGUCCUACAUUUCUGAACCUCUCUCCAACCUCUUUUCCCCUGUUCCCUCGUGUACCCAGUCUCUUGCCCUCUGCCCAAGAUGCUUAAUCAAAAGUCCUUUUAACCAAAAGCUUGCUUUGUGUAUGUAACAUGUAAAAUGAGAUUGUCAGAGCAACCAACCCGUGUUUACUACAAAGGUGUGAUGGAACAACGAAGCGGAGAAGACAGUUUUCAAGGGCAGUUUUGUUAGGCAAAUGAAUAUUUUAUAUUUGGUUGGCAGAGUAUAUCCAGACAUAGAGAAGCCUAUUUAGUAAUUUGGUGAAAAUAUAAAUGUUAUCACAACAUAUGUCUUAGAAUGUGGUUUCAUUAUACUCAGUUUUUGAAAUUUGAGAUCCAUUGUAGUCCAGUGUCAUAACUGGGCCUUCCAGAGAGGUAAAUCCUAUUUCUCUUACUAUACUGUACACUCUUGAAGACAGAUCCUAUAUGUAAUAUAUUGGUUUCUCACAAAAUACCUACCCUGUGUCUUUAAAGAGAAAAAUACUUGUUGAAGAAAGUAAGGACAGGAUUCCUGUCAUCUCUAACUCAAAGAAAAUCCCCAAAGUACCUCAUGAUAACUCAGAUCUCAGACCUGCUCUUUCCACCAUAUGCCUGCAAGGCCAUAUUUGCACGUACCUGUUGGAUAUCUACAUGUCUUUAAGCAUUUUCAGUUUUACAAACCUAAAACUCAACUCAGUUUCUUUUCAUUGAACUCUGUAUAUCUCUCUUCUGCAAUGGAAAAAUACCAUUCUAGGCUCCAGAAUCUGCCUCCAAGUCUCAACAAGACCCUCUAACCGUUGCUCUUGUAUCCUUUCCAGCUUCGUUGCCCUUCUGUUACUGCAUCAGCCCUAGCUCAAGCCCUUCCCAAUGAUGGGCAUAACUUUUCGAAUUCCAGUGCCUUCUUUGCAUGGUCCCAUUCUAAACACGGCCAGAACCAUCUUGUAAAGCAUAGUUCUGAUCUAGUUUCACCCCUGCUCUUUACACCAUUGGCUUCCAAGGGGCUUGCUGUGGAAUACUUUUCCUCAGGUGUCGUACCCUGCAGCUAACCCUAACCCAACCUUUCUCUUUUCACACCAUUUUAUUGUUUCUCCUCCUUGCCCCCGCCUCCAUUUCUGCCUAUUUAUCCAAGACUUCUCUGUAACGGUUGAUACUAGUCCCUCCCCACCCCGCCUCCGUUCCUCUGAUCUAGUCUCUUUCUCCAUGUUCCCAUAGCCUUUGGCCCUUAAACAGACUUGCUUAUGGUGCUUAUCAUAUUCUGUCCUUGAGAACAGCAACUGUAUUUUGCUCAUUAGAGAUUCCCUCUCAGCAUCUGGCAGAAUGUCUUGCAUGUGCUAGACAUUCAGUAUUUGUUUGGUGAAUUAAAUUAAUUCAAAUGGAUCUCUUUUUUUUUUUUUUUUUUUUUUUGAGUGCCUCUAAUAUACAAAUGGCAUUCUGGAGCCUAUGCCACUUCUAAUGUUAUUUUCUAAUGGAAAUUUUCUAGUACGAUUUUAAGACAAAGUAGUAAAAAAUGUUCAAAAAGCUUCAAUAUUAAAUUCUCCUUUUUGUGGGGACUAGGAUGAAGGGGCAGCUCUCUUUUAUAUGAGUUGGUCUUAGCACAUGAAGAACCAAUCUUGAAAUACUAUCUUUUUUAAUGACAUAGAU
RNAcentral lists this long non-coding RNA (3857 nucleotides) under Sus scrofa (pig). Its description in RNAcentral is "lncRNA (ENSSSCG00000056848.1)". The record is from RNAcentral. Lineage: Eukaryota; Metazoa; Chordata; Mammalia; Artiodactyla; Suidae.